CAGGAGGUAGUUUAUAAUUAAAACGCUAGUUUUGGGUAUUAGAUAUAAAUAGUAAUUAUUUUCUUCUGA
RNAcentral lists this transfer RNA (69 nucleotides) under Tympanophyllum maximum. RNAcentral's name for it is "tRNA-Pro". The record is from RNAcentral. Lineage: Eukaryota; Metazoa; Arthropoda; Insecta; Orthoptera; Tettigoniidae.